RNAcentral lists this ribosomal RNA (250 nucleotides) under uncultured bacterium. RNAcentral describes it as "partial 16S ribosomal RNA". It matches the Rfam family "Bacterial small subunit ribosomal RNA", at positions 524 to 773 of the family's 1533-position model. The record is from RNAcentral.
UACGAAGGGGGCUAGCGUUGCUCGGAAUUACUGGGCGUAAAGGGCGCGUAGGCGGCUUGGUCAGUCAGGCGUGAAAUUCCUGGGCUCAACCUGGGGACUGCGCUUGAUACGGCCAGGCUUGAGGCCGAGAGAGGGUGGUGGAAUUCCCAGUGUAGAGGUGAAAUUCGUAGAUAUUGGGAAGAACACCGGUGGCGAAGGCGACCACCUGGCUCGGUACUGACGCUGAGGCGCGACAGCGUGGGGAGCAAAC